This 452-nucleotide ribosomal RNA is filed under the name uncultured bacterium. Its description in RNAcentral is "bacterial SSU rRNA". It matches the Rfam family "Bacterial small subunit ribosomal RNA", at positions 350 to 793 of the family's 1533-position model. The record is from RNAcentral.
AGCAGUGGGGAAUAUUGCACAAUGGGCGCAAGCCUGAUGCAGCCAUGCCGCGUGUAUGAAGAAGGCCUUCGGGUUGUAAAGUACUUUCAGCAGUGAGGAAGGUGGGUAUGUUAAUAGCAUACUCAUUUGACGUUAGCUGCAGAAGAAGCACCGGCUAACUCCGUGCCAGCAGCCGCGGUAAUACGGAGGGUGCGAGCGUUAAUCGGAAUUACUGGGCGUAAAGCGCAUGCAGGUGGUUUGUUAAGUCAGAUGUGAAAGCCCCGGGGCUCAACCUCGGAAUUGCAUUUGAAACUGGCAAACUAGAGUACUGUAGAGGGGGUAGAAUUUCAGGUGUAGCGGUGAAAAUGCGUAGAGAUCUGAAGGAAUACCGGUGGCGAAGGCGGCCCCCUGGACAGAUACUGACACUCAGAUGCGAAAGCGUGGGGAGCAAACAGGAUUAGAUACCCUGGUAG